Molecule: long non-coding RNA, 2422 nt
Organism: Cyprinus carpio carpio
Lineage: Eukaryota; Metazoa; Chordata; Actinopteri; Cypriniformes; Cyprinidae
Source: Ensembl
UGGAAGGGCGUGUUUGAGUCUGGUUGGCGGUUAUGUUGGGAGGGUUUGUCUGGGUCAGGUUGGCGGUUAUGUUGGGAGGGUUUGUCUGGGUCAGGUUGGCGGUUAUGUUGGGAGGGUGUGUCUGGGUCAGGUUGGCGGUUAUGUUGGGAGGGUGUGUCUGGGUCAGGUUGGCGGUUAUGUUGGGAGGGUGUGUCUGGGUCAGGUUGACGGUUAUGUUGGGAGGGUUUGUCUGGGUCAGGUUGGCGGUUAUGUUGGGAGGGUUUGUCUGGGUCAGGUUGACGGUUAUGUUGGGAGGGUUUGUCUGGGUCAGGUUGGCGGUUAUGUUGGGAGGGUGUGUCUGGGUCAGGUUAGCGGUUAUGUUUGGAGGGUUUGUCUGGGUCAGGUUAGCGGUUAUGUUUGGAGGGUUUGUCUGGGUCAGGUUGGCGGUUAUGUUGGGAGGGUGUGUCUGGGUCAGGUUGGUGGUUAUGUUUGGAGGGUUUGUCUGGGUCAGGUUGGUGGUUAUGUUGGGAGGGUAUGUUUGGGGCAGGAUAGCGGUUAUGUUGGGAGGGUGUGUUUGGGUCAGGUUGGUGGUUGUGUUGGGAGGGUUUGUCUGGGUCAGGUUGGUGGUUAUGUUGGGAGUUUGUGUUUGGGGCAGGUUGGUGGUUAUGUUGGAAGGGUGUGUUUGUGUCAGGUUAGCGGUCAUGUUGAAAGGGCCCAUCUGGGUUGGGUUUGUGGUCAUAUUAAAAGGGCUCAUCUGGUUCGGGUUUGUGGUCAUGUUGAGAGGGCCCAUCUGGGAUAGGUUUGUAGUCAUAUUAAGAGGGCCUGUCUGGGUAAGGCUGGUGGUUAUGUUAUGAGGACCCAUCUGGGUUGGGUUUGUGGUCAUGUUAAAAGGGUUCAUUUGGUUGGGGUCUGUGGUCGUGUUUAAAGGGCUCAUCUGGUUCGGGUUUGUGGUCAUAUUGAGAGGGCCUAUCAGGGAUAGGUUUGUAGUCAUAUUAAGAGGGCCUAUCUGGGUAAGGCUGGUGGUCAUGUUGAGAGGACCAAUCUGGGUUGGGUUUGUGGUCAUGUUAAAAGGGCUUAACUGGUCGGGGUUUGUGGUCAUGUUGAGAGGGCCCAUCAGGGAUGGGUUUGUAGUCAUAUUAAGAGGGCCAGUCUGGGUAAGGCUGGUGGUCAUGUUGAGAGGACCCAUCUGGGUAAGGUUAAGGUUUAUGUUGGGAGGUCCUGUUUGAGUUAAGUUUGAAGUUAUGUUGAAGGGACCGACCUGGUUUAGGUUGGUGGUCAUGCUGGGUGGGUUCGUCUGGGUCAGGUUGGUGGUAAUGUUGGGUGGUAGUGUCUGGGUCAGGUUGGUGGUCAUGUUGGUUGGUAGCGUCUGGGUCAGGCUGGUGGUCAUGUUAGAAGAUAUCCAGCUGUCUGUAGAGUUGCUACUGCUUGUUGUAUUGCUCCCAUUGACUCCAAGCAUCAUGCAUGCUAUCCCCAGGAUAGCCACAUAAAUCCAUUUACUCCUCAUCCGUGAUCUUUAUGUGCUUAUGUAUCUGUUAAUCGUGCAGUUUUUGUUACCUAUAAUUUAAAAGAAAACAAAUCAUCUUGUAUAAUCAACAAAAAAAAAUAAACAUUUUGGAUAAUUUAAAUUUGAUUUUAAAAGCCAUUAACGAAAGGCAGGCUUUAUCUGAAAGACUUUGUCGUUCAUAAUCUUUUAUCAUUCCUUCCCAGACACAAACAAGCAUGAACCUGGAUCCUCAAUUCAUCAACACCUUAGUUUAUUUACCACAUCUUAUUUAGCAAUAUGGUAUUCAUAAAUAUUAUGGCAUUUUAACAAUUUAACCUUAACACUAACAUACGAGUUUUGCUUAAUGUCUUUUCAUUUCUUUAUCUCAGCAAUGGUUGUUUGUUUGAUGGAACUAAGAGGCUAUCUAUGCAAUCUUCAAAUAAUUCUUGUUACACAACAUUAUAUACUACACAGUGCAACCAUUUAACCUUCUUACUAUGGUAAAGUGUAAAAUUACAGAAUUUGAUAGAUCCUCAAAAUCCAUCCUCAAAACUAAGUGAGCAUAAAAAAAUAAAAUUUUUGCAACUAAAAACUUUUUUUUUUUAAUGUAUGCUUUAGAAGUCAGUGGCUCCUUAGUCAUUCCAUAGUCUCUCGAAAAGUUGGGUCGUUCAGACAGGAUAGCACCGUCCAAUAACACAAAGUAUUUUUAUUUUUUUUCCAGAGUAGACACAACAUUUUGUAAAAAUGUACCAAAAAUUAAAUAAUACAUAAUUGACUUCUAUUUUUAUAACUAAUUUGAAUUAUAAUAUAAAGAUAAAAUAUAUUCAAUUGAUAGGCUAUCUAAUAUUCAUUCAGUACAAUGCAUAAUAAGAUUUGUAAUUUAUGAUCAAACUCAGAUAAAAUAAUAAAAAAUAAAAAAAAACAGCAUGCAUUGGUAUCUGAACAAACAGGAAAAAACAG